UAGCCGUAAACGAUACUCGCUAGGUGUCGGCCACGGUGCGACCGUUGUCGGUGCCGUAGGGAAGCCGUGAAGCGAGCCACCUGGGAAGUACGGCCGCAAGGCUGAAACUUAAAGGAAUUGGCGGGGGAGCACAACAACGGGUGGAGCUUGCGGUUUAAUUGGAUUCAACGCCGGAAAUCUUACCGGGACCGACAGCAACAUGACGGCCAAGCUGAAGACUUUGCCGGAUUAGCUGAGAGGAGGUGCAUGGCGUAGUCGUGU
RNAcentral lists this ribosomal RNA (261 nucleotides) under uncultured archaeon. RNAcentral describes it as "partial 16S ribosomal RNA". It matches the Rfam family "Archaeal small subunit ribosomal RNA", at positions 748 to 1009 of the family's 1478-position model. The record is from RNAcentral.